CCUACGGGAGGCAGCAGUGAGGAAUAUUGGACAAUGGGCGCAAGCCUGAUCCAGCCAUGCCGCGUGCAGGAAGAAGCAUCUAUGGUGUGUAAACUGCUUUUGUACGGGAAGAAACACUGCUACGUGUAGCAGCUUGACGGUACCGUAAGAAUAAGGAUCGGCUAACUCCGUGCCAGCAGCCGCGGUAAUACGGAGGAUCCAAGCGUUAUCCGGAAUCAUUGGGUUUAAAGGGUCCGUAGGCGGUUUGGUAAGUCAGUGGUGAAAGCCCAUCGCUUAACGAUGGAACGGCCAUUGAUACUGCCAGACUUGAAUUACUAGGAAGUAACUAGAAUAUGUAGUGUAGCGGUGAAAUGCUUAGAUAUUACAUGGAAUACCAAUUGCGAAGGCAGGUUACUACUAGUUUAUUGACGCUGAUGGACGAAAGCGUGGGGAGCGAACAGGAUUAGAUACCCUGGUAGUCCACGCCGUAAACGAUGGAUACUAGCUGUUCGGGGUAACCUGAGUGGCUAAGCGAAAGUGAUAAGUAUCCCACCUGGGGAGUACGUUCGCAAGAAUUGAAACUUCAAAGUAGUUAGUUGGCGNGNGAGAGCGACGACGACGACGACGGAGGGAGGAGG
RNAcentral lists this ribosomal RNA (617 nucleotides) under uncultured bacterium. RNAcentral's name for it is "bacterial SSU rRNA". It matches the Rfam family "Bacterial small subunit ribosomal RNA", at positions 338 to 957 of the family's 1533-position model. The record is from RNAcentral.